UUGUUCUUUGGUCUUUCAGCCA
This 22-nucleotide microRNA is filed under the name Callithrix jacchus (white-tufted-ear marmoset). Its description in RNAcentral is "Cja-Mir-4677_5p* (star (passenger))". The record is from RNAcentral. Lineage: Eukaryota; Metazoa; Chordata; Mammalia; Primates; Cebidae. RNAcentral also lists the same sequence under 4 other names.